RNAcentral lists this unclassified non-coding RNA (211 nucleotides) under Hevea brasiliensis (rubber tree). The record is from RNAcentral. Lineage: Eukaryota; Viridiplantae; Streptophyta; Magnoliopsida; Malpighiales; Euphorbiaceae.
AUCAUAUUUUCAUUUAAAACUUGUGUCAUGUUGUCUUUUAUCAUUUUGCACAAUUCAAAUGUAUUCCAAGUCAUGUCCAUGGUCAUUAUUUUACCAAGUUGAAAGUUGAAGCACUGAAAGCUACCAACUGAGUGGUGACAUGCAAUAAAAUUCUUGGCUUGUACUGGACAAAUAUAUUUAUAUGCAUUUGAAUAUUGAGGGAAAAAAAAAA